RNAcentral lists this ribosomal RNA (120 nucleotides) under uncultured bacterium. RNAcentral describes it as "partial 16S ribosomal RNA". It matches the Rfam family "Bacterial small subunit ribosomal RNA", at positions 215 to 334 of the family's 1533-position model. The record is from RNAcentral.
GCGCUCUUGGAGCGGCCGAUGUCUGAUUAGCUAGUUGGUGAGGUAAAGGCUUACCAAGGCGACGAUCAGUAGCUGGUCUGAGAGGACGACCAGCCACACUGGGACUGAGACACGGCCCAG